AUUGAACGCUGGCGGCAUGCUUUACACAUGCAAGUCGAACGGUAACAGGCCGCAAGGUGCUGACGAGUGGCGAACGGGUGAGUAAUGCAUCGGAACGUGCCCAGUCGUGGGGGAUAACUACUCGAAAGAGUAGCUAAUACCGCAUACGAUCUAUGGAUGAAAGCGGGGGACCGUAAGGCCUCGCGCGAUUGGAGCGGCCGAUGUCAGAUUAGGUAGUUGGGGGGGUAAAGGCUCACCAAGCCAACGAUCUGUAGCUGGUCUGAGAGGACAACCAGCCACACUGGGACUGAGACACGGCCCAGACUCCUACGGGAGGCAGCAGUGGGGAAUUUUGGACAAUGGGCGCAAGCCUGAUCCAGCAAUGCCGCGUGCAGGAAGAAGGCCUUCGGGUUGUAAACUGCUUUUGUACGGAACGAAACGGCUCUGGUUAGUACCCGGGGCUAAUGACGGUACCGUAAGAAUAAGCACCGGCUAACUACGUG
Molecule: ribosomal RNA, 482 nt
Filed under: uncultured bacterium
Lineage: Bacteria
Description: partial 16S ribosomal RNA
Rfam family: Bacterial small subunit ribosomal RNA
Source: RNAcentral